AGGAGAAAAGAAAUAAUUAAUGCGGGGGAAAAUCGUAUCUCGACAAAACAAAGCUUACAGAGAAAAUGUUAAUUAGAAGCGAUGAUGGUAAUGGCGAUUGAGAUAUUGGGAUUUGUUUAUAAACAGAGAGACGAAAGAUAAGGGGGGAACGAGUGAGCUGCUUUCUCUCUCUUACCCCACAGCGCAGAAUCUUAAUUAAGCUCUUUUUUUUCUCCCUUUUGGACUCUUCUUCUUCGUUUCGAUUUCUGUUAGAUUCUUCUAAUCCUCUGAUGAAUCGGUCUGAUCCAUUGCUUCAUCGGUGCGUCUUUUCAUGAUGAGGAAGCAAUGAACACUGUAUACGUGGACAGCUCCAGAACGCUCCGACGUAAAACCACUGUCGAAUAAAUGUUGAGUGUUUGGUUUCUUGUAUGCGGGUUUUAGAAUGCAAAGCAAUGCAAUGCAAUGCAAUGCGCGAGUUGUGGAUGCCUGUGACUGAUUCGUAGUUCUAGAAUUUAAAUUUGUUCUGCGCUAGAGAUAAGAGGUAGUCAGUAUCAUUGUUACCGCAAAGAUUUGGUAGUUUGUUAGGAGUUUCCCAGAUAAAAUAGGGAUUUUGGAAACUGACGUCUAUCUCCCAAGUUCCAGUAAGGGCACCCUCAGGUUUCUUAUCUGAUAAAGUCGUCUGAGCAUUGGUGAUGGGUCUGCCACAGACUGCUUCAAGUGAACUAUCCAAUGAAGCUUCUUCGUCUACGCCAAGUUGCAGCCUUUCUCAGAGUCUGCCUGUCUAUGCCACUUCUCAUGAUUCGGAAAGUGAUGGAGGCAUCUCCUCUUCCAUUGCAGAGUUUGAUAGGAAAACAUCAUUGGAGCCUCUGGAGCUCACUGAUGAUCCGUGUACACUCCGUGGCACUUGUGUUGAAUCCUCAUCUAGUAGUGCUCAUGGAUCCACUAGCUAUGCUGCGGAUAAGGUUAGCUCGAGUCUAGCUGGAGCUAGAAGGAUAGUGGGUUUUGCAUCAAGCCAAACUAGCUCACUGGACAACAUACAAACGAGUGUAGAUAUUGGUGGAGGAGUGUUGGUCAGGAAAAGAGUACUCUCCCCUCUGAACACUCUCUUCCCUGUCAAAUUCAGAGGUGACCCGCUUGAUAUCAGCUCUAGUAACCACCAACAAAUAAAUUAUUCUGGUCUUGCUAAUAGGUUCCGUGAUUCUCUCGCACAAGAUCACUCAAAGUUUAACCUCGCUGGUAGGUUGCAUCUCUCUUCCACCGCUUCAAGCAGUAGCAGAUUCUCGUCCAUGGUCUUCACUGAUGGUCCAUUAUUCGACUCUAUAGACCUCCACCGACCCACAGAAGGUGAGGUUUGCGUAUAUUCACCAGUAUAUGAAACCUCUGGUAUAAAGCCAUUGCCAUGUGAUAAGGAUAUAUCUGUCUCUCCGCCGCUCUCUCUCUCACCACUUGGUCCUAAGUUUUCUGAGAGGAUGAAAGCUCUAAGAAGUGGCCAAAACGGGAAGCUAAUGGAAGAUUUAAGGAACAUCAGUGAAGAAGGAGCAGAACUAAGUGUUGACCGUAGAUUGUUUGAUGAUGCAUAUGCUCUAAGGAGAGCGUUUUCAAUGGAGAGAGGUGUUGAAUUAGCUCCUUCAUCUCCAUGCAGAAGGUUCAUUAGAAGCUUGAGUGGACGCCCCAUUCAGAGGUCAUUGGUUGGUUCUUUUGAGGAGUCACUAUUGACAGGAAGAUUGUCAUGUGGGACAACAAAUCAGAUUGACGGUUUUCUUGCGGUUCUUAGUAUUGCUGGGGGAAACAUAUCUCCAAAAUCACAGAAGCUUCCAUUCUCAGUAACCAGUGCUGGUGAUGAUUGCUUAUUGCUAUAUUAUGCAUCCAUAGAUCUCGCUGGAGGAACUAAGUCGAACAAUUUCUGGAGCCAGAAGUUGAAAACAAGUCCAAUCAGGUUUGAUGGUCAGAGCUCCAAGAACCAACUGCGGAUUCCCAUGAAGGGUCGGAUUCAACUGGUUCUUAGUAAUCCUGAGAAAACACCUCUUCAUACCUUCCUCUGUAACUAUGACUUAACUGAUAUGCCAGCCGGUACAAAGACUAUCUUGCGCCAAAAGGUUACUCUGGGAUCAUCUAAUCCAACUAAAGAAGCAACGCAAGAGAACACCAGAGAAGCCACAAGCUGUGAAAAAGAAAAGUCCAGUAAACAUGGGAACAAAAAAGAAUGUGAAGGAUCUGAUUUGUUAAAUUCAGUGGAAGGAGGAGAUUCGUUACACGAAAGUGGGAAAAGUUGUAUAAAAUCUUCCAAAGAAUGUAACAGCGGUUCUGGUGCUCUACGGUACGCUCUUCAUCUAAGGUUUAUUUGUCCGUUAACCAAGAAAGCUUCAAAGAAACCUGAAGAAACCAAAACUACGGGGCAAAAGAAAGACUUGGAUUCAGACGGGAAGAGGAGAUUCUAUCUGUACAACGACUUGAGAGUCGUGUUUCCUCAACGCCACACAGAUUCCGAUGAAGGAAAGUUGAAUGUGGAGUACCAUUACCCAGACAACCCAAGAUACUUCGACAUCACAGACUAAGACUUUCAAUGCUUUUGUCCCAUUACUGGAACCUAUAAUAAUAGGUACAACAUAACCCAUAGUAUAAUGUAAUUAUGUAAAUAAUCAAAAGCGAGAUCAUCAUUUCAGAGAUCAAACGUCGGAAUUUCAGAAGAGAAACCAUGUGAGGCCUGAUACAACAUCCUUGGCAACAAGUGUCUGUAGGGAUCACUCUCUCUCUUCAUUUUCAAGUAGGCAAUGCAUUGUUCAACCUCAGACUUGACUUGCAAAUGUCGUCUUCUCCAACAACACCAAAUGGGACAAUCUUGGCUCCAAACUUAGAUGCAACUCUCACGAACUCUGGUUUCUCUGGCCAAAACAACUUGUAUUCUUCACCCUGCAAAGUCUCUCUCUCUCUCUACAUGUUUAGAAAAGUCUAGGAACACAAACUUUUAUGAGAGAGAAAGAAAAGCACCUUUCUAUGAAAAGAUUCACGGAUACCACCAGGAUACAAAAGCGCAUGAGACUUUGAUUGCAGUAGUUUGUAGAUAUUGAAGUUGGAGACAGGAACUGCACCCAACAUCUUAUAUUUGUCCAACAUCUGUGGGUCGAUUAACCGAUCAUCUUGGAUGUUCCACAUAAGCAUUGGAUGUGCCAAACCACGCAAGUGAAUGUUUCUCUCUUUCAAGAAUUGAGUUAUCACUGGAACUAUCUCUAGUCCCAAUAACACGUGAUAGCCAACGUAUAGUACAGGCCCUUCUGAAGGUAUACCUUCAAGGCCCCUCACACGUUUACCCUUUGCUAAUGUUGAUAGAUAUACAGGUGAAGUAGCAUCUAUUAAGAGCCUGAAGAACAGAAAAAUUAUCAUUCAGUAUUGGCUAUAACAUUGUAAUUUGAUAGACUGAUUUGUUUUGUUGAGCAUUUUUACUUGUGGUCGUCUACUAGUUGCUUCAACUCAUAUCUGGUAAGCAUAAUGUAAUCUGAAAUGUGAUCAUGAGACUUCCCACGGCGAUAGAAACAAGUGCAUUUGAUGAUAGUAACCAGAUCUACACUGUCCUC
Molecule: RNA transcript, 3551 nt
Organism: Brassica napus (rape)
Lineage: Eukaryota; Viridiplantae; Streptophyta; Magnoliopsida; Brassicales; Brassicaceae
Exons: 7
Source: RefSeq, a predicted model, not a curated record